Long non-coding RNA from Rana temporaria (common frog), 567 nucleotides. RefSeq lists it as uncharacterized. The transcript has 3 exons. Lineage: Eukaryota; Metazoa; Chordata; Amphibia; Anura; Ranidae. The record is from RefSeq and is a predicted model, not a curated record.
UCCUUCUCUAUUGGCGCACGGAGUGUUGUCCCCAGCAGGGAGCACCAAUCACGGCUCCUUGCUUGCAGCCUAUGACCUGGCGUCAUGCCAUUGGGUCUCUGGCCGCACACCCACGCACUCACGUGCAGGGGUUGGUGGGACGCUGGACGGCGAUAGCGUCGCCUAUGGAUGACGUCACACAUCGCCGCCCAGGGAUCCUUACAAAAGCGGCUGAGAAAGCCGCUUCUGUGAGAUAGCACGGACGCUCUCCCUGGGGACACACGUGGGAAAUCAUCAGCCACGCUGGAAUCAGUGCAUUGCACUGCCUAUACCCUGGCAGUUGAGCUAACCUUAUAAUUGACUUACCAAGGCUGUCCUCCUGUGCCCCAGUAAAAUUGGAUAUACUUAUUUUAUGUAUAGCUAUGAGCCCGUUCUAAACAAAUAUAUCCCCCUCCUUGCGCCAAAGAAGGUAUUCAACUGGGUCUCCGGCUUGAUCAAUUGACCAGUCUGGGUGAGUUUUUCACUCCAUUAUAAGGCAUGCUACUUAGAUUAUAUUAUAAAAUAUUUACAACCAUUGUAUAAACUUGC